UUAUCUCAUGAAAGUAGAUCCUAGGAAGCAUCUUACAUAAAUUCUGCUAAAGUUGAUAAAUCAUUAAAAGCUUAUCCGUUGGCGCCUUUUCUACAAGAUUAUUUUUGUUUGGAAAAAAUAAAAAAGGAGAAAAAAAUUGAUCCAGAGGUAAAUGUGGUUAUGACUUAUGAUGGUCAUGCUAACAGUGAGUUAGAAGCACUUGACGGCCAGUACUAACAAGUACAAAUUUCUGAAGGUUAACAAGUACAGAAAGAAUAGUAGCGCGAGCAAGUACAAAUUUCUGGAAGUUGGCACUUAAGGCAGAUUUUGCAGUUACAUGUCAUUCUUCGUAGACUGUAUUAUGUAUUAUCUAAUAACUAGAGUAUAUAUGGCUGAUGUAUGUGGUCUUUAUGCAAAUGCAUGUACGAAUCCAGCUUGAGGGCAUACAAAGUGUAAAAAGCAGAACAGAGAAAAACAGGGAAAAGAAAAAGGCAAAAAGCAUCAUUAUUGAUUCUUUAUUUCAAAUCACGAACCGCCUCAUAACAACUAUAAGACAUCCAGAAUCAUUCUAUGGAAAAGACCUCCAAUGUUAUCAUCCUAUCACUAUAUUCACGAGGAAAAGGUACUUUCAUACAAUGAACAGACAAUAGGCACAUUUCUUCCUCAAGUCUCCUAUUAACCGAACACAAAUCCAACCCCCCAAUCAACAAGCAUAUGAAGCAGGUAUCCACACUGCAUGUGGAAGUUAUCAUGCAUCGAUGAUCAAGUAGUUAUGCCAAUCUCUCUAAUGAGAGUCAUGACAGGCAGCAAUUUGUCCAAAAUGAUCAACCAAAUAAAUAACAGAUCUUUCUAGGAAUCUAAGGUAUGAAAUCAUGCAAGCAACAUUAGUUAAAACAGUCAAAAAGGAAUUCACCAUCAAGUCAUUCUUAAAAUUCUCAUCUUAUCCAAUGUAGAAGACAAUGAUGAUUUCUUUGAUAUUCAUUUUUAAAGAUUCUUCCAGGGCUAGGGGCACCAUAAUAUCACAUCCCCUCUCCACUCAAAGCACUGACUCAUCACUCAUCAGGGCCUUUCACCAAUGUUUCACUUCUUCACCACUCUC
Molecule: long non-coding RNA, 1078 nt
Filed under: Phoenix dactylifera (date palm)
Lineage: Eukaryota; Viridiplantae; Streptophyta; Magnoliopsida; Arecales; Arecaceae
Description: long non-coding RNA (PDAC_LNC006972)
Source: RNAcentral